This 602-nucleotide ribosomal RNA is filed under the name uncultured Bacillota bacterium. RNAcentral describes it as "bacterial SSU rRNA". It matches the Rfam family "Bacterial small subunit ribosomal RNA", at positions 275 to 894 of the family's 1533-position model. The record is from RNAcentral. Lineage: Bacteria; Bacillati; Bacillota.
GACGAUUGGUAGCCGGACUGAGAGGUUGAACGGCCACAUUGGGACUGAGACACGGCCCAGACUCCUACGGGAGGCAGCAGUGGGGGAUAUUGCACAAUGGGGGAAACCCUGAUGCAGCGACGCCGCGUGGAGGAAGAAGGUUUUCGGAUUGUAAACUCCUGUCGUUAGGGACGAUAAUGACGGUACCUAACAAGAAAGCACCGGCUAACUACGUGCCAGCAGCCGCGGUAAAACGUAGGGUGCAAGCGUUGUCCGGAAUUACUGGGUGUAAAGGGAGCGCAGGCGGGAAGACAAGUUGGAAGUGAAAACCAUGGGCUCAACCCAUGAAUUGCUUUCAAAACUGUUUUUCUUGAGUAGUGCAGAGGUAGAUGGAACUCCCGGUGUAGCGGUGGAAUGCGUAGAUAUCGGGAGGAACACCAGUGGCGAAGGCGGUCUACUGGGCACCAACUGACGCUGAGGCUCGAAAGCAUGGGUAGCAAACAGGAUUAGAUACCCUGGUAGUCCAUGCCGUAAACGAUGAUUACUAGGUGUUGGGGGAUUGACCCCCUCAGUGCCGCAGUUAACACAAUAAGUAAUCCACCUGGGGAGUACGACCGCAAGGU